UNUUACCAGAAAGGGACGGCUAANUACGUGCCAGCAGCCGCGGUAAUACGUAGNUCCCGAGCGUUGUCCGGAUUUAUUGGGCGUAAAGCGAGCGCAGGCGGUUAGAUAAGUNUGAAGUUAAAGGCUGUGGCUUAACCAUAGUACGCUUUGGAAACUGUUUAACUUGAGUGCAGAAGGGGAGAGUGGAAUUCCAUGUGUAGCGGUGAAAUGCGUAGAUAUAUGGAGGAACACCGGUGGCGAAAGCGGCUCUCUGGUCUGUAACUGACGCUGAGGCUCGAAAGCGUGGGGAGCGAACAGGAUUAGAUACCCUGGUAGUCCACGCCGUAAACGAUGAGUGCUAGGUGUUAGGCCCUUUCCGGGGCUUAGUGCCGCAGCUAACGCAUUAAGCACUCCGCCUGGGGAGUACGACCGCAAGGUUGAAACUCAAAGGAAUUGACGGGGGCCCGCACAAGCGGUGGAGCAUGUGGUUUAAUUCGAAGCAACGCGAAGAACCUUACCAGGUCUUGACAUCCCGAUGCCCGCUCUAGAGAUAGAGUUUUACUUCGGUACAUCGGUGACAGGUGGUGCAUGGUUGUCGUCAGCUCGUGUCGUGAGAUGUUGGGUUAAGUCCCGCAACGAGCGCAACCCUUAUUGUUAGUUGCCAUCAUUCAGUUGGGCACUCUAGCGAGACUGCCGGUAAUAAACCGGAGGAAGGUGGGGAUGACGUCAAAUCAUCAUGCCCCUUAUGACCUGGGCUACACACGUGCUACAAUGGCUGGUACAACGAGUCGCAAGUCGGUGACGGCAAGCUAAUCUCUUAAAGCCAGUCUCAGUUCGGAUUGUAGGCUGCAACUCGCCUACAUGAAGUCGGAAUCGCUAGUAAUCGCGGAUCAGCACGCCGCGGUGAAUACGUUCCCGGGCCUUGUACACACCGCCCGUCACACCACGAGAGUUUGUAACACCCGAAGUCGGUGAGGUAACCUUUU
Molecule: ribosomal RNA, 965 nt
Filed under: uncultured bacterium
Lineage: Bacteria
Description: bacterial SSU rRNA
Rfam family: Bacterial small subunit ribosomal RNA
Source: RNAcentral